Mytilus californianus (California mussel) is the source of this 906-nucleotide long non-coding RNA. RefSeq lists it as uncharacterized. Lineage: Eukaryota; Metazoa; Mollusca; Bivalvia; Mytilida; Mytilidae. The record is from RefSeq and is a predicted model, not a curated record. The transcript is spliced from 3 exons.
CUAUUCCAUGGCUUCUAGAGAAAAAUAAUGAGGAGUGUCAUGGGGUAUGACUAUAUAGGUCUUGUAGAGGAGAAACAGGCGCAUCUUUUGCGCAAGGUAUCGAAGGGAGCUAUGUUCAAAAAUCUGAAACUAGAGCUCAAAAUUUAAAAACAAUUGUUAAAAACAGGGGGGUUGGCCUAUUCCAUGGCUUCUAGAGAAAAUAAUGAGGGGUGUCACGGGGUAUGACUAUAUAGGUCUUGUAGAGGAGAAACAGGCGCAUGUUUUGCGCAAGGUAUCGAAGGGGCUAUGUUCAAAAAUCUGAAACUAGAGCUCAAAAUUAAAAAAAAAAUUGUUAAAAACAGAAGGAUUGGCCUAUUCCAUGGCUUCUAGAGAAAAAUAAUGAGGGGUGUCACGGGGUAUGACUAUAUAGGUCUUGUAGAGGAGAAACAGGCGCAUCUUUUGCGCAAGGUAUCGAAGUGCGCUAUGUUCAAAAAUCUGAAACUAGAGCUCAUAAUUUGAAAAAAAAUUGUUAAAAACAGGGGGGUUGGCCUAUUCCAUGGCUUCUAGAGAAAAUAAUGAGGGGUGUCACGAGGUAUGACUAUAUUGGUCUUGUAGAGGAGAAACAGGCGCAUCCUUUGCGCAAGGUAUCGAAGGGCGCUAUGUUCAAAAAUCUGAAACUAGAGCUCAAAAUAUGGAAAAAAUUUGUUAAAAACAGGGAGGUUGCCCUAUUCCAUGGCUUCUAGAGAAAAAUAAUGAGGAGUGUCACGGGGUAUGACUAUAAAGGUCUUGUAGAGGAGAAACAGGCGCAUCUUUUGCGCAAGGUAUCGAAGGGCGCUAUGUUCAAAAAUCUGAAACUAGAGCUCAAAAUUUGAGAAAAAAAUUGUUAAAAACAGAGGGGUUGGCCUAUUCCAUGGCUUCUAGAGUAAA